RNAcentral lists this ribosomal RNA (497 nucleotides) under uncultured bacterium. Its description in RNAcentral is "partial 16S ribosomal RNA". It matches the Rfam family "Bacterial small subunit ribosomal RNA", at positions 28 to 507 of the family's 1533-position model. The record is from RNAcentral.
GAUGAACGCUGGCGGCGUGCCUAAUACAUGCAAGUCGAGCGAACGGAUGAGAAGCUUGCUUUUCUGACGUUAGCGGCGGACGGGUGAGUAACACGUGGAUAACCUACCUAUAAGACUGGGAUAACUUCGGGAAACCGGAGCUAAUACCGGAUAAUAUUUUGAACCGCAUGGUUCAAAAGUGAAAGACGGUCUUGCUGUCACUUAUAGAUGGACCCGCGCUGCAUUAGCUAGUUGGUAAGGUAACGGCUUACCAAGGCAACGAUGCAUAGCCGACCUGAGAGGGUGAUCGGCCACACUGGAACUGAGACACGGUCCAGACUCCUACGGGAGGCAGCAGUAGGGAAUCUUCCGCAAUGGGCGAAAGCCUGACGGAGCAACGCCGCGUGAGUGAUGAAGGUCUUCGGAUCGUAAAACUCUGUUAUUAGGGAAGAACAUAUGUGUAAGUAACUGUGCACAUCUUGACGGUACCUAAUCAGAAAGCCACGGCUAACUACGUG